This 400-nucleotide long non-coding RNA is filed under the name Homo sapiens (human). RNAcentral's name for it is "HSALNT0250928". The record is from RNAcentral. Lineage: Eukaryota; Metazoa; Chordata; Mammalia; Primates; Hominidae.
UAGUGUGAGGGGUGUGAUGGUGAGGCAGGCAUAAGGUGGAGAUAGAGCACUCACUGCAGCCUAGUGUGGGAUGGAGGCCAAGGAAGGUGCCCCAGAAAGGGGGAUUUCUAAGUGUGAUGAGAGAGGGUUCUUGGGAGAGACCUCAUAGACAGACAGCUUCCUUAGCUCCGUUGAUGGCGAGGAGAGUUUGCCCUGAACUAAUGUGUCCUUUAAGAGGUGAUGUUGCUAGUGUGUUGCCUCCUUUCCACUUUCCAUGAUGUGAGGACCAACAACAAUUGCUGGAAGAUUCAUUUACAAUAAAUGACAGAACAGUUGGACAAUCUGCAACUUGCUGAUUGCAAAAAAUGUAUCACAAUGUUUGGAAUGGUGCAGUGGCAGCUAGGGGAGCUCUGGGGAAAUG